RNAcentral lists this small nuclear RNA (103 nucleotides) under Sorex araneus (European shrew). The record is from RNAcentral. Lineage: Eukaryota; Metazoa; Chordata; Mammalia; Eulipotyphla; Soricidae.
GUGCUUGCUUCGGUAGCACAUAUACUAAAAUUGGAUACAGAGAAGAUUAGCAUGGCCCCUGCGCAAAGAUGACAUGCAAAUUCAUGAAGUGUUCCAUAUUUGU